RNAcentral lists this ribosomal RNA (2624 nucleotides) under Termitomyces sp. MTP_Od127. RNAcentral describes it as "eukaryotic LSU rRNA". It matches the Rfam family "Eukaryotic large subunit ribosomal RNA", at positions 1 to 3007 of the family's 3401-position model. The record is from RNAcentral. Lineage: Eukaryota; Fungi; Basidiomycota; Agaricomycetes; Agaricales; Lyophyllaceae.
GGGGCAUGCACUACAUAGGAUUACCCGCUGAACUGAAGCAUCUCACUAAGCGGAGGAAAAGGAACUAACUAGGAUUCUCUUAGUAGAGGCGAUCGAAGAGAGAAGAGCCCAGAGUCGAACCAUGCUUGCCUCGGUAAGCGGGGGUGUGACUUGCUGAUUCCUUGUGUGUGCGUCUGGGCAUAAAUAGCGUUGAAUUCUUGCCAUAGAGAGUUUUAGCCUCGUGUUGCCCUUCGAUGCACAUGCAUGGUGUCGGCCAUUGGACGGAGUAAGGUAGAUUGAGAAUUCUGCCCGAAUAGGUGGUACACACCAUCUAAGGCUAAAUAUGUGUGGGAGUCCGAUAGAGGACAAGUAGCGUGAGCGAACGAUGAAAAGCACUUCAAGGCGAAGAGUGAAAAGUACCUGAAAUUGCAUGGGUUAAGGCAUUUAAGCGCUGCGCUGGCGAAAGGCGUCGCGUGAAUGCGCCCGUCUUGUAACACGGAUUGGGGAGUUUAUCUCUGCUGCGAGUGCCUGCACAGUUUAAAAACUUUAACAAAAGCGGCGCGUAAAGGAGUUGACUGUCUCUCGUUGUGGGAGGAUGGAGCUCGAGCAGUAGAGCUAGGACCCGAAAGGCGGUGAACUAUGCCCGUGAAGGAGGAAGCCAGGGGAAACCCUGGUGGACGUCCGCAGCGUUAUUGAUGUGCAAAUCAUUUGUCAUACAUGGGUAUAGGUGCGAAAGACUCAUCGAACCGCCUAAUAGCUGGUUUCCUCCGAAGUUUCCCUCAGGAUAGCCGCAGUGCGUCUCUUAACAAGACAUUAGAGUUGGGGUUUUGAGGUAGAGCAAUGGGUAGAAGUGUAGGGGGGCUACGGUCCCUCAACUUAUUUCCAAACUGCGAACUCCCCCGUUUUGAACUUACCGUAAGGAAGUACAAAAGUAAAUCAGCGCUGUGAGUGGGCUCUGACUGGUAAGCGGUCAGGGCGAAAUGGGUUGAACCAUACGCUGGGCUAAGGAGACUAAGUGUACUGGGAUUGAUACCAUGAAGAGCGUCCAUCUAUUUAGACAGCAGGUCGGUGUCCCUAACAGUAGGCAUCCGUUAAUGAGUGUGUUACAACUCCCCUGCCGAAUAGUCGGGCCUCGAAAAUGAAUGUCGCAUACAGUACCUCCGAUACCCUUAAGCACUCGAUCAUAUUUUAAGUAUAGAUCGAGGAGUAGGAGGAUGCGCGCGCGCCUGCGAAGCUUUCACGUAGGUGGGAGUGGAGGCACGCGUGUUACAGAUCCCAAUUGAAGUAGCGUUUAUCCAGGCUAGCAUCCUGGGGGCUGAUGAGGAGCAGGGUUUCUGGGCGACAUAAACUGGCCCAGAGUUAGUCGGACCUAACCUCAGUAAUCUCGCAAGAGUGGAGGGAAAGGGAGUACGCCAGACAUUGCGUAACUACAAGCGCUAAACGGCAACGUUAGGAUGGGCUGUCCGCCCAAUGUGCACCGAAUGAUAGGGAUCUCUUCCCUAUAUGACGGCUUUUGUAACCGCGGAAACAGGUCAUCUGGCGAAGCGCGCUACAUAGCCGGCAAAGUCCCGCUCGUCGGGGCCUUCGGGUGUUCGUUGGGUCCUUGAAGCCAGGCCACCCGCACUUCAUUCAAGUAGGAGUAGCAGUUUGCACCCGUACCGAUAACCGCAUCAGGUCUCCGAGGUGAGUAGCCUAUGGCCAUUGUGUAAUAACGGCUUAGGGAAUUCGGCCAAUUGGAGUUGUAACUUCGGGAGAAAACUUGGCUGUGGUGGUAACCAUAACCGAUAGUACCUGGGAGAGCCCUCCUGUUUAAUAAAAACGCAGCGAUGCGCUAGUCCUCUUGUGGAUGUGUACGCAUCGUGAAUCCUGCUCAAUGCUGUGUUAGUUAAAGUGUCUAAACGCAACUAAGCGCCGGUCAAUAGCUGGGGUAACUAUGACUCUUAUCAAAGUAGCGAAAUACCUCGUCACUUAAUUAGUGACCUGCAUGAACGGAUCAAAGAGGUUCUCACUGUCCCAAGCCGCUGCACAGCGAACCAACAGAUGUGGCAACGGGCACAUGUUAUCCAGCGGGGCAAGAAGACCCUGUAGAGCUUCACUUUGGUCUGGCUCUGCAUAGUUCCACCGGGGGUGUAGACUAGGGAGGAGGUCUCGAAAGGGGCCGACUAUGAAACACUCCUACCCUGGGCGGAACUAGGCUUAUCCUCAAGUUUGCCAUCCUCAUGAGGAGGCGAUACAGAGGAAACAAGGCCAGAUAGAAAGUUUGGCUGGGGCGGCACACCUUCGAAAAGGCAGCGAAGGUGUCCUAAAUUGAGCUCAGUGAGAACAGAAAACUCACGUGGAGUAUAAGGGCAAAAGCUCAAGUUACUGUGCCUUUUUGUACUAGGACCAGUUUGGAAACAAAGGCCUAACGAUCGUCAAUGUCUCAGUGUGUGAGACUUGGGGUGACAGACAAGUUACCUCCGGGACAACUGGCUUGUGGCCGCUAAGAGUCCAAAUCAACGCGGCUUUUUGAUUCUUCGAUGUCGGCUCUUCCUAUCCUAGAGAUGCACAAGUUUCUAAUGGUUGGAUUGUUCACCCGUAUUAGGGAUCGUGAGCUGGGUUUAGACCGUCGUGAGCCAGGUUUGUUUUAUCCUACUGGAUAUCGC